Long non-coding RNA from Salvia miltiorrhiza (redroot sage), 787 nucleotides. RefSeq lists it as uncharacterized. The record is from RefSeq and is a predicted model, not a curated record. NCBI's taxonomy places the organism in Eukaryota, Viridiplantae, Streptophyta, Magnoliopsida, Lamiales, Lamiaceae. The transcript has 4 exons.
CCGAAACUGAGAAGUUCCAUUUGAACUUGCUAUUAGAAGGAUGAAGAUUGAAAUCUGCAUUGGUGGUGGCAGUAUAGCAGACACUCUUUCUCAUGCUAUUCAUUUGGUGAUUGUGUCUAUUCCAGAACUUGGUUACGACUUUGAUACACUUUUGAAUAGGUGAGCUAUCCCAUGAAAAGCAACUUUAUUUUAACGGUUUCUGGUAAAAUAUAAUCUGGCUGCAGAAAUGAAGUAUAUCACACUUUUGGAAACGAGUGGUGCUGGAAAAUCGACGCUGCUGCUGUGAGGGGGCAAUCCGGAUCUGAAGUGAAGGCUUCAGAAUCGCAGAAAAGCUGGCGGCUACAAUGGCUUGGAGGGUCGCUGCUCCUAAUGGUAGCAUUCCCUCUAAUGACAUGGAGAGAAAUGGGGAAGGUAGACCUCAUGACUCAGAACCUCCUACCCCCCAUGCACUCAUGAAAAUGGGUUCAAGGUUGACAGCAUACUUGGCGCCCGUGGCGAUGCUUUUGAGCAUGAGGCAACUAGAAGAAUGCGUAAUGAAUUUAUGGUAGCUUGGGAUGGCUUGAGGUCAAAAGACAACCGGAGAAUCAUAGCAGGUUGAUUAACUAGUUCUUGAGGACUUGGUGCUAGAAACAUUGUAUGAUAGAUUUUUGUUUUAGCUAUAAGGUAGUUGGUAUUUUCAAUUUUGAAUCGGAAUAUGCAAUGAUGAUGUAUACUUGAUAUUUGGUUCAUUUGUAUAAUAAUGUAUGAAUAUUUUGGAUGAUAUAUAAUAUUGUUAUUGUUGAUUUUA